UACGGAGGGUGCGAGCGUUGUCCGGAAUCAUUGGGCGUAAAGGGCGCGUAGGUGGCCCGGUCAGUUCGUGGUGAAAGCGCGGGGCUCAACCCUGCGUCGGCCAUGAAUACUGCCGCGGCUGGAGCACUGUAGAGGCAGGCGGAAUUCCGGGUGUAGCGGUGGAAUGCGUAGAUAUCGGGAGGAACACCAGUGGCGAAGGCGGUUGCCUGGGCUUUGGCUGACGCUGAUGCGCGAAGCG
This 238-nucleotide ribosomal RNA is filed under the name uncultured bacterium. RNAcentral's name for it is "partial 16S ribosomal RNA". It matches the Rfam family "Bacterial small subunit ribosomal RNA", at positions 524 to 761 of the family's 1533-position model. The record is from RNAcentral.